CUCAGAAUGGACAAUUGCAUUCCAUUAUCAAAUAAUUAAGUUUAGGAAAGGUGGGAAGAUAGACCUAAAAUUGAGUUUAUUCCUUUUUUUUUUUUUUUCUUUUUGUAAAAAAAAAAAAACAGUCAAGGUUAGACUUCCUAGAUGGUUUUCCUUCAAAACACUACUUCUCAGUGUUGGGUAGGGUAGGAUUUUGCUUCUGGGGGACAUUUUGACGUCUGGAGACGUUUUAGAUCCCUUGUGGUCAGUGGUUAAGUGAUCAGCUGCUAACCAAGAGGUCAGCAGUUCAAAUCCAGCUGCUGUGUGGGAGAAGGAUGUGGUAGUCUGCUUCUGUGAAGACUAAAAAAAAAGACUACAGCCUUGAAAACCUGAUGGGACAAUUUUACUCUAUCUUACAGGGUCACUAUGAGUCGAAAUGGUCUCCACUGGCAAUAGGCUUUUUAGUUUUAAUUUAAAUAUGCACAUAUCUUACGUUUUAAAGACUUGUUUGUAUAUGUAAGUCAGUAGUUUUCAAAGUGUAGUCCUUGAACCCUUAGGAGUAAAACCUGUUCAUAUUAAUACUAAAAUAUUAUAUGCCCUUUUCUCUUUGAUGUUUGGAUGAAAGAUACAAAAGCAAUGCUGAGUAAAACAGCUGAUACCUUAGCAGGAAAUCAAGGCAGUGGCCCUGAAUUGUCUAGUAGUGUGUAUUCUUCUCUGUCAUGAAUACUUCACGUCAUACAGUUAAAAAAAAAACCUCAUUUUUCCUUCAGAUUCUUUUUCAGUACAAAUUAAAUUUUACUCUACUUGGCUCUAGAGUAUCUGUGUGAUAAAAUGGGUAUGUGCUGCAGAGGAAAAGAAUUUGUGUGAUUGAGUUGCUAGCUCAGCUACCCCCCUCCCCAUUUUCAUGUAAUAUCUUCUUUAAUUGAAAGAACAACUGAAAAACCAUGGUUAUUCAGACUUGGGUAUUUGGCAAACAUUUCUUUGAAAAUGAACAAAAUGAACUUGUUACUAAUAAAAUUGGAGCUUUCAGGCAAAAAUUAGAAUUUGGGGAAAUCUGUAUGGGCCACCUUGAGCUUGAUAGCAUUCUAGUAAAGACAUUCGUGGUAAUAAUGAUAGUGAUAGUGAUAUUAUAUAAUGAACUGUGUCAACAUUUGGAAGAACUGAAUAACUCAGUAAACCAACGUUUUCCAGAUGGCGUUAUUAAAUCACACGUAGGUAAAGAUCCCAUUCAAAGAGCACAUUAGACAAAUGGAUUUUGUAUGUGUGUGUGGUAAAAUACGUAUAACAAAACAUUUCGCAUUUCAACCAUUUGUAUGUGUACAAUUCAGUGACAUUUAUUACAUUCACCAUGCUGUGCAGCUGUCAUCCCUAUCCAUUUCCAAAUUUUUUUAUUAUCAUCCUUAACAGAAACUCCAUACUCCUUAAGGAAUAACUUUCCAUUUUCCCCUCCCACCUGCCCUUAGUAAGCUCUAAUAAACAUUGAUCUCUAUGCAUAGAGAUUUUAUAUAGGUGGGUCAUACAAUAUUGUCCAGUAGUGUCUGACUUAGUUCACUCAGUAUAAUCUUUUCAAGGUUCAUCCAUGUUUUACCAUGUAUCAGAACUUCAUAUUUCUUCAUGGCUGAAUUACUGCAUUGUAUGGAUUUCCCACAUUUUAUCCAUUCAUCUGUUGAUGGAUACUUAGGUUGUUUCCACUUUUUGGCAGUUGUUAAUAAUGCUUCCCCCACGUGUCUGUCAUUUUGUCGUACUGUGGGGGCUUGCAUGUUGCUGUCAUGCUGGAAGCUCUGCCACUGGUAUUCAGAUACCAGCAGGGUCACCCAUGGCAGACAGGUUUUAGUGGAGCUUCCAGACUGAGACAGACUAGGAAGAAGGACGUAGUGGUCUAUUUCUGAAAAGAAUUAGCCAGUGAAAACCUUAUGGAUAGCAGUGGAACAUUGUCAGAGACUGUCCCAGAAGAUGAGCUGCCUCCUCAGAGUAGAGUUAACUUAAUGAUGUGGAUCGAGUCAAGAUUUUAGAACCUUCAUUUCCUGAUGUGGCACGACUCAAAAUGAGAAGAAACAGCUGCGAACAUCCAUUAAUAAUCGGAACCUAGAAUGUACAAAGUAUGAAUCUAGGAAAAUUGGAAUCAUAAAAAACAAAAUAGAACACAUAAGCAUCAAUGUCCUAGGCAUUAGUGAGCUGAAAAGGACUGGUAUUGGCCAUUUUGAAUCGGACAGUCAUAUGGUCUGCUGUGCCAGCAGCAACAACCUGAAGAGGAAUAGCAUUGCAUUCAUCAUCAAAAAACAUUUCAGGAUCUAUCCUGAAGUACAGUGCUGUGGGUGAUAGGGUAAUAUCCAUACGCCUGCAAGGAAGAUCAGUUAACGUGACCUACUUUUCAAAUUUACGCACCAACCACUAAGGUCAAAGACAAAGAAAUUAAAGAUUUUUUUACCAACUUCUGCAGUCUCCAAUUGAUUGAACAUGCAAUCAGGAUGCAUCGAUAAUUACUGGUGAUUGGAAUGCAAAAGGUGGAAACAAAGAAGGAUUGGUUGUUGGAAAAUAUGCCCUCGGUGAUAGAAAUGAUGCUGGAGAUGGCAAGAUAGAAUUUUGCGAGACCAGUGACUUUUUCAUUGCAAGUAUCUUUUUUGAAUAACAUAAGUGGCGAUUAUACACCCGGGCCUCACCAGAUGGAAUACACAGGAAUCAAAUCAACUACAUCUGUGUAAAGAGAUGAUGGAGAAGCUCAGUAUCAUCAGUCAGAACAAGACCAGGGGCCGACUGCAGAACAGACCAUCAGCUGUUCAUAUAUAAGUUCAAGUUGAAGCCGAAGAAAAUAAGAACAAGUCCAAGAGAGCCAAAGUACAGGCUUGAAUAUAUCUCACCUGAAUUUAGAGACCAUCUCAAGAAUAGAUUUGACACAUUGAACACUAAUGACCAGACAAGUUGUGGAAUGACAUCAAGGACAUCAUACGUGAAGAAAGCAAGAGGUCAUUAAAAUGACAAGAAAGAAAGAAAAGACCAAAAUGGAUGUCAAAAGAGACUCUUAAACUUGCUCUUGAAUAUUAGGUAUCUAAAGCAAAUGGAAGAAGUGAUGAAGUAAAAGAGCCGAACAGAAGAUUUCAAAGGGUGGCUCCAGAAAACAAAGUAAAGUAACCUGGAGUUAGGAAACCAAAAGGGAAGAACAUGCUGGACGUUUCUCAAGCUGAAAGAUCUGAAGAAAAAAUUCAAGCCUGGAGAUGCAAUAUUGAAGGCUUCUACAAGGAAAAUAUUAGAUGACACAGGAAGCAUCAAAAGAUGAUGGAAGGAAUACACAGAGUCACUAUACCAAAAAGAAUUGGUCAACAGAACCGGUGGUACUGAAGGAAGAGGUUCAAGCUGCACUGAAGGUAUUGGCAGAAAAACAAGGCUCCAGGGAUUGAUGGACUACCAGUUGAGAUGUUUCAACAAACAGAUGCAGUGCUGCAAGUGCUCACUUGUCUAUGCCAAGAAAUUUUGGAAGACAGCUUCUUGGCCAGCCAGCUGGAAGAGAUCAGUAUUUGUGCUCCUUCCAAAUAAAGGUGAUCCAACUGAAUGCAGAAAUUAUCCAACAGUAUUGUUGAUAUCACACGCAAGUAAAAUUUUGCUGAAAAUCAUUUAGAAUGAGCUGCAGCAGUAUAUCAACAGGGAACUGCCAGAAAUUCAAGCCAGAUUCAGAAGACGAGGUGGAAAGAGGGAUAUCAUUGCUGAUGGCAGAUGAAUCUUGGUUGAAGUCAGAGAUAACCAGAAAGAUGUUUACCUCUGUUUUACAUUCACUGAGCAGAGGCAUUCUACUGUGUGGAUUACGAGAAUUUAUGGGUGAUUGCCAAGGAUGGGGAUUCCAGAACACUUAAUUGUGCCCAUGAGGAAUCCGUACAUAGAUAAAGAGGCAGUCGUUGGAACUGAACAAGGGGAUACUGCAUUGUUCAAAGUCAGGAAAGGUGUGUGUCAGGGUUGUAUGCUUUCACCAUAUUUAUUCAAUCUGUCUGCUGAGGAAAUAAUCCGAAAAGAUGGACCAUAUUAAGAAGAAUGAGGCAACAGGAUUGGAGGAAGACUCGUUAACAACCUGCAAUAUGCAGAUGACAAAACCUUGCUUGCCGAAAGUGAAGAAGACUUGAAGCACUUAUUGAUGAAGAUCAAAGACUACAGUCUUCAAUAUGGAUUAUACCUCAACAUAAAGAAAACAAAAAUCCUCACAACUGGGCCAGUAAGCAGCAUCAUCAUAAACAGAGAAACAAUUGAAGUUGUCAAGGAUUUCAUUUUACUGGAUCCAUAACAACACCCAUGGAAGCAGCAGGCAGGAAAUCAAAGGACACAUUGAGUGAAUCUGCUGCAAAAGACCUUUUUAAAGUGUUAAAAUGCAAAGAUGUCACCUUGUAGGCUAAGGUGGGCCUGACCCAAGCCAUGGUGUUUUAAAUUGCAUCUGCAUGCGAAAGCUGAACAGUGAAUAGGGAAGACUGAAGAAAAAUCAAUGCCUUUGAAUUAAUGGUGUUGGCGAAGAAUAUUGAGUACACCAUGGACUGCUAGAGGAACGAACAAAUCUCUCACGGAAGAAGUACAACCAGAGUUCUCCUUGGAAGCAAGGAUGGCAAGACUUCUCUCAUGCUUUGGAUAUGUUAUCAGGAAGGAUCAGUCCCUGGAGAAGGACAUCACGCUUGGUAAGGUGGAUGGAGGGUCAGUGAAAGAGAGGAAGACCCUCAACGAGGUGGAUUGACACAGUGGCUGCAACAAUGGACUCAAACAUAGCAACAAUUGUUAGAAUGGCACAAGACUACACAAUUUUUAAUUCUGUUUUCCAUAGGGUCACCAUUAGUUGGAACCAACUCGAUGGCAUCUAACAACAACAACAACAAUAAUAAUGCUCCAGUGAACAUUGGUAAGCAGGAAACUAAGACCCUGAGUCUUAGGCUGGGUGUUCUAGAGAAGCAAAUCCAGUAAAGCGGAUAAGUACAUAUAGAGAGAGAUUUGUGUGAAGGAAAUAGCUACUGUGGUUGUAGAGGCUGGAACAUCCUAAAUCCGUGGAUCAGGCUGGAGGCUUCUCAUGAAUCACAUAGCAGCAGGGCUGGGGAACCCAAAAUGGGCAGGCAAGAUGGCAGGUAAGCUGCUAGCUCAAGUCCCAAUAACUGGAGGUCAGACAAACAGGAGCCAGCUGCAAAGUCCAGAAUGAGCAAAAGUCCAUGAGCCUUGCCAGAAAGUCUACCUAUAUUGGUUGCAGGCCACACCCCCAAGGAAACUCCCUUUCAACUGAUUGGCGACUCACAGCAGAUCCCACCAUUGAGAUGAUUACAUUAUAUCAGAUGUUAUCAUGGAAGUGAUUACAUCAUUAUACGACUGCCAAACCACUGAGAGUCAUGGCCCAAUCAAUCUGAAACACAACCAUAAUGAUCACACCCUGCUUUCAAGUCUUUUGGGUAGGUAUAUAUACCUAGUAGUGCAACAGCGGAGUCAUAUGGUAAUUCUAUGUUUAAUUUUAUGAGGAACCACCAAACUUUUCCACAGCAACUAUACCAUUUGACGUUCCCACCAACAAUUGAUUAGGGUUCCAAUUUUUCCAUAUCCUUACCAACACUUCUUAUCUUCCAUUUUUCUGGUAAUAGUUAUCCUAGUGAGAGUGAAGUGGUAUUGUGGUUUUGAUUUGCGUUUCCCUAAUGAUUAAUGACGUGUCAAGCAUCUUUUUUUCCCUUAAGUUAAAAUAUUUUUUUGUUUAUUGUACUUUAGGUGAAGAUUUACAGAGCGAACUAGUUUCUCAUUUAACAAUUAAUACACAUAUUGUUCUGUGACAUUGGUUGCCAACCCCACGACAUGUCAACACUCUCCCCUUCUCAGUCUUGGGUUCCCCAUUACCAGCUUUCCUGUCCCCUGCUGCCUUCUUGUCCUUGCCCCUGGGGUGGUGUGCCCUGUUAAGUCUCCUUUUUUUUUUUAUGGGCUUGUUUAAUCUUUGGCUGAUGGGUGAAUGAUGACUUCAUUACUGAGCUAAAGUGUGUCUGGGGCCAUACUCUAGGGGUUUCUCCAGUCUCUGUCAGGCCAGUAAGUCUGGUCUUUUUUUGUGAGUUAGAAUUUUGUUCUACAUUUCUCUCCAACUCUGUCUGGAACACCCUGUUGUGAUCCCUGUCAGAGCAGUUGGUGAUGGUAGCCAGGUACCAUCUAGUUGUGCUGGACUCAGUCUGGUGGAGGCUGUGGUAGCUGUGUUCCAUUAGUUCUUUGAGGUAAUCUUUCCCUUGUGUCUUUGGUUUCCUUUAUUCUCCCUUGUGUUGAGCGUCUUUUUAUGUGCUUAUUGACUGUAUGUUCUUUAGAGAAAUGUCUGUUCAAAUCCUUUGCCCAUUUUUAAAUUUGGUGGUUUGUUUUUUGUUGUUCAGUUGCAGGGUUUUUUUUUGUUUUGUUUUUUUUAAUAUUCUGGGUACUAAACCCUUAUCAGAUACAUGGUUCCUAAAUAUUUUCUCGGAUUCUGUAGGUUGUUUCUUAACUUCCUUGAUAAAAUCCUUUGGAAGUUUUUAAAUUUGGAGAACUGGAUUUAUCUGUUUUAUCUUUUGUUACUAAUGCUUUUGGUGUUAUAUCUUAGAAUCCUCUGUCAGAAACUGGAUCCCAAAGCGUGUUUUAUUCUUAGCAUUUUAAGCUUUUAGUUCUGACAUUUAGAUCAUUGAUCUGUUUUGAGUUAAUUUUCAUACAUGGUGUGAGGUAUGGGUCCAAUGUCAUUCUUUUGCAAUCUUUUUCUCAGCACCAUUUAUUAAAAACUAUUCCCCAAUUGAAUGCAAUUGGCACCUUGUAAAAAAAUCAGUUGACUGUAGAAAAUGAAUUUAUUUCUGGACUCCCAAUUCUAUUUAAUUUCUUUAUAUCUUUCUCAUUAUACCAGCACCAAAUUGUUUUGAUUACUGUAGCUUUAUAUUAGUUUUUGAAAUAGAGAAGUUUGAGUCCUCUUACUUUGUUUUUAUUUUUCAGGGUUGCUUUGGCUAUUCGGAGCCCCUUGCAGUUUCAUAUGAAUUCAAGGAUUGAGUUUCCCAUUUCUGCCAAGAAACUGUUGGAAUUUGUGACUUGUGGAAUUAAAGAGAGAGAUGCCUGAAAACUAGAGACAGAGAAGUAUACUUUUCAGAAAGGGGAAGAAGGAAGACUAUAGAGCUUGCUAUGGCCCUCAGGCGAAUAGAGACCAAUUGUUGUGCCUUGGAUGACCACUUGGAAGCUUUUAAGAACCCAGGCACUAUGCAAGGAACCAGGAGGUAGAAAAGAAGCACUAAACAUGUUAUUAGGCCAAUUAACGGGGAUGUCUUGUGAAACUGCGACUCAUGAUGGCCCAGUAUAUGCAGAGUAAAACUGUUCUCCACAGGGUUUUCAAGACUGUGGCCUUUCUGAAGCAGAUCACCAGGCCUAUCUUUCAAGGUACCUCUGAGUGGGUUUGAACUGCCAGUCUUUCAGUUAGCAUCAAGCACUUAAUUGUUUGCACCACCCAGGGACUCCUGAGACAUCGUACCCACUGUUUUUAAUGACCUCAGGAGAUGGUGAAUUUUAUCUCUCUGGGUAAUCUCUCUGGCAUUAACCAGAAUUUUUUUUUUUUUUUCAUUAGCUUUAAGGCCAUACAACCCACCAUACAUUGGGCCAGCUCACAGGAAACUGAUCAAGAGAACAGGAGACAUUCAAUGAGAGUUUUCUUUCUUGGUGUUUCAGGAGAACUAGAAAGAGUCACAGCCUUUCCUUAAUGUUGAUGUAUUUAUUGAGGAGGAAAGAAAUUAUGUAACAGGGAAGUGUAGGGCACUGUUUGAGAACUUGGUCUUACCUGGCUAGUUAUGGAACAUUCUUAUGCCUUGUUGUUUAAGGAUUUCUUUUUUAUUUUUCAGGAUUUGUUUUCAGGAAGACAGGAGGAAAGGAAGACAUCUCAGGAUCCCAUUUCAAGGGUCCUUUGGCUACAUUUCCACUGUCAGAACAUUUUCUCCAAGAGUCCUGGGCCAGACACCUGGAUUUCCAGAUGGGUUUUGUAGCCAAGGAGAUUUUAGAGAGGGGAGGUAUUUCAGUUAUGUAGAAAAGUUCAGUUAUCUAAAGAAUUUAUUUUAUAAAAUACCACAAAUCUUUGUGACCUAAAAGAACAGGAAUUUAUUACUUUUCAUGAUUUUGUGGACUGACUAGUAUCAACUGAGUGGUUUUGUUGCGCAUGGUGUAGCUGAGGUCACUCAUGGGCUACAUUUAGCUGGAAGCCCGGCUGGGACUAGGACAUCUAAGAUGGCCUCUCAUCCUCUAAUACCUCUCACCAUUUGGUAAUGUAGCGCAAGUUUCUUCAUACCAUGGCAUUUAGCUUCCAAGAAGGAAUAUUUCAAGAGGACAAGCCCCAAUAUGCACGCACUAAUCAAGCCUCUGCUGGCAUCAUUUUGCUAAUGUCUCAUUGGCCAAAGCAAGUCACAUGAUCAAGUCUAGAGUCAGUGUGGGAGGGGGCUACACAAGGGUGCAAAUACCAGGAGGUUUUGUUCACUGGAGGCCACCCCUAUAACGAUUUACCACAAGUGAGCAGGGCAGUUUUGCACACCGGCUCCUCAGUUGUCAGUGCUUAGGUAUGCAUGCAUAACCUAAGAUCUGGUCCUUGACUUUGCAGUUCCAGAAACUGUGUGAUUAGGAGUUUAUGCUUAGCCCCAUGCGUUUAUCUGAAAUUGCCUCUCAUCAUGACUCGAAGAUGUGAAUUUAGGGUGUCAUAGUUUUAUCUCAGGACUCUGUCAUCUUGGCCACAGAUGGUUGAACCAGAGUGGACACCUAACCUAUGACUCUGUUGGCUGAGCUGGCCCAAUUGGACUUUCUCUUAAGACUUUGGAAUGGGAAUACUGAGAGACUAAGAUCCAAACUGGUGAAGAGAUUAUAGAAAAUCUCGUAGAUAGUCUAAAACGAGUUCAGAAAUAUAUCUAAAACUCCUGAGAUGACUAGAAAAUGAGACUGCUAAACCAUAGUUUAAGUGGUUAAGUGCUAUGGCUGCCAACCAAAAGGUCGGUAGUUCGAAUCCGCCAGACGCUUCUUGGAAACUCUAUGGGGCAGUUCUACUCUGUCCUCUAGGGUCGCUAUGAGUCGGAAUCGACUCAGCGGCAGUGGUUUUAAACCAUAGUUAUUAAGAGAUUGGCUGCUAACCAAAAGGUUGGCAGUUUGAAUCCACCAGCUGCUUCUUGGAAACCCUAUGGGCAGUUCUACUUUGUCCUAUAGGGUCGCUAUGAGUUGGAAUCAACUUGAUGGCAGCAGGUAUUCACUAGUGGAUAUAUGUUUCUGCUCAUUCUAUUAUGCUCCAUGACAAUAUCUAGCUGCAAGGGAGGCUGGGAAAUGUCAUCUCUAGCUGAGUAGCCAUGCACCCAACUACUAUGGAAGAAGGAGAAAGUGUAUUUUAGUGAAGACUUAGCUGCUGCCUCCUUCCCCCCACCCCCUCCCCACACAGCAUAGUGUUCAAUUCCUGGUUACCUUUCAGGAGGGAGAAAGACAAGAGUGUAUUUACAGGGAGUAAACAGGAUGAUGAAGGCCUCAAAAUCAGGCCAUAAACAGAUUGGUUGAAAACUUGGGGAUCGUUGUAUUGAAUAUUUAGGAAACGAAAUGGCUGCUUUUGAAUGUUUUACGUGCAAAAAGAGAUAAAUGUUAUUCUGUAAAGGCUCCAGGAGUAAAUAUAAUAAGGGGAAGCUAACCAGUAACCAGUUGCCAUCAAGUCAGUUCUUGACUCAUGGCUCAGAGAAAUGUAUUUAUGUUCAUUAUAAGAAAAGAAGCUUCUAGCAGAGUUGUCCAGAAUGACUUACACCUCAGGUACAUUGUGAACUAGAAGAAGAGACCAAAAAAAAAAAAAAAUUUUUUUAUUGAGUACCUAUUAUGUGGUCAACACUAUUGAGGCACUUUCACAGAUUUGUUGCUUCCAACUCUGAGAGUCUGUUGCAGCUCCACAUACUUUUCUCCAAACCCUAUUUUUCGUGACUCACUGACAAGCCUGCAAAGAGCAUAUAUGAGUUAAAUUUGUGGGGUAGAACAUCCUAGGGGAUAAACCCUGAAGGGUGUUGUGUGUGUUCAAGUUCUGAGUUCUGUGGUAGAUGGAGAAGUUGGCCAGGGUGCGGAAAGAAGGAAGCAUAUCACUUAGUUAUUUUCUGAUUCUCAGUAGCAACCUGAGAUCUUCCAGAAGGGGUUAUAUAGUCCUGACCAGCAUAGCUUUGUGGCGGCCCUCCUGUCUGCCGUAUUAGCACACUGGUGAGCCCAGAGAAUGCUGCCAAGAAGUAUGAGAGGGCUGCUUUGAAAGCUCUGUCCAAUGUACAAAUGUCCAGUGUCUUCCAUAUAGCUCCUGUGGGUACUAGUGGGAGACAAGAUGCCUUUCUUGAUAUGAGUUCCUGGUUGUUUACUGGAGUCAACAAGAGUGUUUUGUCAUUCCUUGUACUUCUGGAUCCAAAGAUCUAAGAGAACAGAGGGGCCCCCAAAUCUGCAAUUCACAUAAACAAAGUGACAGAGUAACAGGAAAUGGGCCAGGGCACACAAACAAAGACAUUCCCCAGAACAAUGGGGCAGGGUAUCAGAAACUAGCCCACGAACUUCUUUAAAGUUGUCUCUCAGAAGCAACCAGAUGAAAUGAGCCCCAGAGACAUGCGUCGAACAUCCACCUGUGACCGCUGUGUGACCUUUCACCAGGGGCUGUGAAGGGCGGCAGCCGCAGCUGGGGAAUCCAACUCAGAGUGAGAGACUGCGCAGGCAUGACACCCCAUAAGUCCUAGUAUGAAUUCCAGAGGCCUGUGGGACAGGAGCCAUCUUAGAAAGCAGCUGCGCGUGCACCUUCGGUAGCCUAUCCCCACCCAAAACUGGCUAGUUACUGGAAAACCCCGCCUGUGCCUCUGAAUAAACAUGAACCUUUUUCACACUGAAGUAUUUAAAAGCCCGUGCAAGUCCUUCGUUCUGUGAGACGGGUGGUAAGCAUUGCCUAGGCCUUCCUUACCUCUGCUUGCAAGCCUCUUCAGUAACGCUUUGCUGGUGUGCCUUACCUGCUCAUUCUUGACCAGUGAGAGGCAAGAACCUUAUUUAAUUAAAGGCAUAGAGACCCUGGCAACAGUUCUGAAUCUCCUCAAUAUUUCUGCUUGUUUCUCUUUAAUUGAACACUCACCUCAGUCAAUCCUAAGCUCUAAUGUUAUGCUGGUCUACCAGUGUGGACACUUAAGUGACAAAGUUUUAGGAAGAGACCCUAAAACUUUAAACCUCCUUGAAGCUUGUGAUAAACUUUAUGUGCUGCAGCAAGUAAGAAUUUCCACACUUCCCUGGGAAGUUGGAGGAGAGCUAAGAGAUUGAAGUAGAAAUGUAUUUGGACAUAAAAAUAUUUUAGUCAAGCUGUGAAGAAGCAGCACAGGGGAUGAUUUGAGGCCCCUGGAGCCAUCAAGUAGCAUGAUUGGCAAUACCGUUUGGAGAACAAGGGUGUUCUGUGUGAACAGUUUCUCACACUUACCCACACUCCACCUUCCAGCCCUGUCUGUGUCUUUUAAAUCUAGUGCCUCAAAUUUAGUCAGAUGAUAAUAGACACUUGUCAUGCCUGAGUGAAAGGUUCCAAAGGGAGGUUGGAAGGGUCUUAUGACCCUGAGGAAGACAGGAUGUUUACAGUCCAGUUGAACAUAUCCACCUAAAGAGCUUUAGCCAGCUUCCUCCCAGUUCGUCUAAUGGAAAGCACACUUCAUCACAGCAGGUGACAAUUUUUUCCCAAAAAAUCACAGAAGGUAGACUCAAAUGAGAAAGGCAUAUUCUUUCAAUUGACUUCCUGAGGCGCUCUAACCUUUUGUCUUUAGCCUACUUGUAAUAAGUGCCAUCAAAUUAGCCAAGAAUGACUCUAUCUGAGCAUCCAAGAGUAGGGGCCUGUCUAGAAAAAUUAGUGCCUAUGGCAAUUAGUUUUAAAUUGCUGAAUGAUCUCACAACUGGCAAUGGAAACUUCGAUGGCCAAUAGAAACUGCUCAUUAGAGCCCUUCCUCAAGCAGUACUCAGGGUACACAUCCUACUUGCGAUACCUUAAUAACUCCAGCCCAACCAAGAAGACAGCAUUAGGUUUGUUGUUGUUGUUAGGUGCUCUGAGUCUCAGAGACCCUAUGUACAACAGAAUGAAACACUGCCCAGUCCUGUGCUAUCCUCACAGUAGUUGCUGUGUUAGAACUCACUGUUUCAGUCACUGUGUCAGUCCAUCUCAUUGAGGGUUUUCCUCUUUUUCGGUGACCCUCUAUUUUUCCAAGCAUGAUGUUCUUCAGAGGUUGGACCUGAUCACGAGUCCAAAGUACGUGAGAUGAAGUUUUGCUAGCCUCACUUCUAAUGAGCAUUCUGGCUGCAUUAGGUUUAGAGCAAGAAAUUUUGGAGAAGACACAAGCACAGUAACCUUGACUUAGUUACUUAACAACUCUGAGUCUUGAUUUCCUCAUCUGUAAAAUACCCUGCCCUCCUCUGAGUGUCACUGUUGUCACUGUUGUUAGGUGCUGGUGAAUUGGUUCCGACUCAUUGCGGCCGUAUUAGGAGACUCAGAAUGAGAGCAGCAGUUCUCAGACUCCCUGUGUGUGCACAUCACCUCAGCAUCUUGGUAGAAUGUAGAUUCUAACUCAGGAGGACACGGUGAGGUCUGAGAUUGUGCUUUUCUGGGAAGUUCCCAGGUGAUGUCAAUGCUGCUGGCCUCAGAGGAACAGAAAAGAGAGUAAAAAGGGAUAAAGAGUUAGAGAAUAUUUUUGUAAACCACAAAGUGAUUUGUAGAAAUAAAGAAUAAUUUUCCUGGUCCUGACUUUAGUUGAUUAUAAAUGAAUUCCCAACUAGCCAGCAGUUUUAGGAUGUGUUUAGUAUGAGCAUCAGAUAGAAUUUGACAGUCACAGGGUUUGGAGAAUGGCAAGAAUUUAAGGAGUUACUCCCCCCCUCCCUCAUAUUUAAGACAAGGAAACAAAUUCAGAGAAGUCACUGAUGCCUCCAAAAUCUCUCAGUCAGUAACUUAGUAGUGUGGUCGGAUUAGAAUGCAAUCACUUGCCUUUUUUCUGUCAUUAAAUAAGCUCAAUAAUAACCUCCUAAAGAAAAGGCAUUGUUAUUCUUCACUAAAGCUAGAACAAAUAUGAUUCUGGCCCAUACCCAAAAAGGUCCCAGAAGGUGAAAUUCACCAAGAAAGGCCACCAGGGUCCUAAUUAGAGGCAAGCUGUCCCAGGGUACACAUCAAGGGAUUUUUCAGGGGAAUGAGCUUCAAAACACAGUGAGCCCUAAGAAAGUUACGUCCUAUGUAUUCAAAAUGUCACUUAAACACAAAUUUCCUUCCUUUCUGGCAAAAAUGAGAUUUUGUUUCCAAUGUAUACAAAUUCUGAGUCAUUCCUAUUUGGGGACAAUCAGAAAAAGAGAGAACAUGGGGUAGGAAAUAGUAAAGGGAAAAAAUGAAUUCGCUGAAGAGGAACACUGGUUUCUGCGGCGGAACCUGAAGGCAAAAGAAUCUAACGUUUGUUUUUUUUUUUUUCAAUUCCUGGCAUGUAAAUUAUUUUGCACCUCUGAGAUGAUGGUGGGUCCCAGGCGCUUAUAGAAGAACAUGAGAUGUAGGAUGACUGACGUGAAAGACAGGAGUCAAAAACUCCCAAGUCAUAAAUCAGAAAGGCACAGAGUAUCUGGAAACCAAAUCAGAGUGGAAAAGAGGGGAGCCACUUACCACGCAUGUCAUCUCCAACAAAGAAAAGUGAAUCUAAAAGUGUCUUCGUGAAAUUAGGAAGGAGUACCUAUUGAACACGCCUAUUUACAUGCAGAAAAUAACACCUGGAACAGCCCCAGAAAAACCUCAAUUUACAGCGAUCCCCAGCCCGCACCCACCGCCCCAAAAAAUCUGUCUUCUUGAACAAGAAUCUCAGUGUGUUCAUCUGGUCUGCAGUUCACUGCAGGCAUUUCCUUCCUCACAAUUUACCAGUCAUCAGUUAAGCAUCUCAAUUAGACCUGCUCCGCCAGCGCCCAACUGCUUAGAAUAUUUUUUGCCCUUUAACGAAUCUCUGGGUUCCUUCAGCCCACUCAGAGCGCCCAACUGCGGUGAACCUGGGCCCUUCAGCCCACUCAGAGCGCCCAGCUGCGGUGAACCUGGGCCCAGGG
This is a long non-coding RNA of Loxodonta africana (African savanna elephant), 14004 nucleotides long. RefSeq lists it as uncharacterized. NCBI's taxonomy places the organism in Eukaryota, Metazoa, Chordata, Mammalia, Proboscidea, Elephantidae. The record is from RefSeq and is a predicted model, not a curated record. The transcript has 4 exons.